CGCUAACCACCGGCCGCCGCCCUGGAGGGGACCCGGCGGCCCCGCCACGUGCGGCUGCGAGUUUCAGACCCGCUUCCGGGGGGCGGCGGCCGUCGGAGGCCUGGGUUGGGGGGUCGUGAGCCGGAUGUUCCCCGCAGCUGGCCAGAAAGCUGCCUCUGAGCCUCUUGAGCAACUCCCUGCCUCCUCCGGUAGUCUCUCUGGACUCUCCAAGUGACUUGCUGGGGGCACCGGGCGCGGGGAGGGCAGGCCCCCGGGGUGACGCAGAACACUAUGCGUUUGUUACAACGAUUAAAUGAAGAACACAGAAGUCUCUGGCUCUGCCGGGCAGAACGCCUCUUAAGAGUAUCGCAGCUAAAAAGUGGGUUGGCUGUAAGCUGAUAAUCAGGUAGCUGUGGUCAGACACCCACUCCAGAACCUCUGCUACUCAGAGACCAUGUUAUCACACGCGACGUCCAUUAGGCCCCAGUAAUCCGCUAUCAACGCAUUUUAGAGCCAUUUGAAUGUUAAGGAGAUUUUUAUUAAUGGUCCAUGAUCCUAAAAUGUGACUAUUGGUUCUAGGAACAGAUUUUAACAACUCAAGGCUGUGAUGAGUGAUUUUCUGAUUUCUGUGCAGCCUAAGGCCUCAGGAGAUUUCAUCUGGGAGAUUGGG
This 649-nucleotide long non-coding RNA is filed under the name Homo sapiens (human). RNAcentral's name for it is "non-protein coding lnc-TMEM260-7:1". The record is from RNAcentral. Lineage: Eukaryota; Metazoa; Chordata; Mammalia; Primates; Hominidae.